UACGAAGGGUGCAAGCGUUGUUCGGAUUUAUUGGGUGUAAAGCGCGCGUAGGCGGACCUGCAAGUCAGAUGUGAAAUCUCGGGGCUCAACCUCGAAACUGCGUCUGAAACUACAGGUCUAGAAUCUUGGAGGGGGAAGGGGAAUUUCGCAUGUAGGGGUAAAAUCCGUAGAUAUGCGAAGGAACACCAGAGGCGAAGGCGCCUUCCUGGACAAGUAUUGACGCUGAGGCGCGAAAGCGUGGGGAUCAAACAGG
Molecule: ribosomal RNA, 253 nt
Filed under: uncultured bacterium
Lineage: Bacteria
Description: partial 16S ribosomal RNA
Rfam family: Bacterial small subunit ribosomal RNA
Source: RNAcentral